RNAcentral lists this ribosomal RNA (254 nucleotides) under uncultured bacterium. RNAcentral describes it as "partial 16S ribosomal RNA". It matches the Rfam family "Bacterial small subunit ribosomal RNA", at positions 524 to 776 of the family's 1533-position model. The record is from RNAcentral.
UACGUAGGGUGCAAGCGUUGUCCGGAAUUAUUGGGCGUAAAGAGCUCGUAGGCGGUCUGUCGCGUCGGCUGUGAAAUCCCGAGGCUCAACCUCGGGUCUGCAGUCGAUACGGGCAACUGGAGUAGCUGCAGGGGAGACUGGAAUUCCUGGUGUAGCGGUGAAAUGCGCAGAUAUCAGGAGGAACACCGGUGGCGAAGGCGGGUCUCUGGGCCAUUACUGACGCUGGAGGAGCGAAAGCGUGGGGAGCGAACAGG